Molecule: ribosomal RNA, 1320 nt
Filed under: uncultured bacterium
Lineage: Bacteria
Description: bacterial SSU rRNA
Rfam family: Bacterial small subunit ribosomal RNA (bases 616-1320)
Source: RNAcentral
CACAUGCAAGUCGAACGAUGAUAGAAGAGCUUGCUUUUCUUGAUUAGUGGCGCACGGGUGAGUAAUGCAUAGAUAAUGUGCCCCCUUAGUUCGGGAUAGCCACUGGAAACGGUGAUUAAUACCGGAUACUCCUUCUUGUUAUAAGACAAGUCGGGAAAGUUUUCCGCUAAGGGAUCAGUCUAUGUUCCAUCAGCUUGUUGGUGAGGUAAUGGCUCACCAAGGCUAUGACGGAUAUCUGGUUUGAGAGGAUGAUCAGACACACUGGAACUGAGACACGGUCCAGACUCCUACGGGAGGCAGCAGUGAGGAAUAUUGCACAAUGGAGGAAACUCUGAUGCAGCGACGCCGCGUGGAGGAUGACGCAUUUCGGUGUGUAAACUCCUUUUAUUAGGGAAGAUAAUGACGGUACCUAAUGAAUAAGCACCGGCUAACUCCGUGCCAGCAGCCGCGGUAAUACGGAGGGUGCAAGCGUUACUCGGAAUCACUGGGCGUAAAGGGUGCGUAGGCUGGCUUUUAAGUCAGAUGUGAAAUCCAAUGGCUCAACCAUUGAACUGCAUUUGAAACUGAAAGCCUAGAGUUCAGAAGGGGCAGAUGGAAUUAGUGGUGUAGGGGUAAAAUCCGUAGAUAUCACUAGGAAUAUCAAAAGCGAAGGCGAUCUGCCACAUGCAAGUCGAACGAUGAUAGAAGAGCUUGCUUUUCUUGAUUAGUGGCGCACGGGUGAGUAAUGCAUAGAUAAUGUGCCCCCUUAGUUCGGGAUAGCCACUGGAAACGGUGAUUAAUACCGGAUACUCCUUCUUGUUAUAAGACAAGUCGGGAAAGUUUUCCGCUAAGGGAUCAGUCUAUGUUCCAUCAGCUUGUUGGUGAGGUAAUGGCUCACCAAGGCUAUGACGGAUAUCUGGUUUGAGAGGAUGAUCAGACACACUGGAACUGAGACACGGUCCAGACUCCUACGGGAGGCAGCAGUGAGGAAUAUUGCACAAUGGAGGAAACUCUGAUGCAGCGACGCCGCGUGGAGGAUGACGCAUUUCGGUGUGUAAACUCCUUUUAUUAGGGAAGAUAAUGACGGUACCUAAUGAAUAAGCACCGGCUAACUCCGUGCCAGCAGCCGCGGUAAUACGGAGGGUGCAAGCGUUACUCGGAAUCACUGGGCGUAAAGGGUGCGUAGGCUGGCUUUUAAGUCAGAUGUGAAAUCCAAUGGCUCAACCAUUGAACUGCAUUUGAAACUGAAAGCCUAGAGUUCAGAAGGGGCAGAUGGAAUUAGUGGUGUAGGGGUAAAAUCCGUAGAUAUCACUAGGAAUAUCAAAAGCGAAGGCGAUCUGC